This 1474-nucleotide long non-coding RNA is filed under the name Heterocephalus glaber (naked mole-rat). RNAcentral's name for it is "lncRNA (ENSHGLG00100044866.1)". Lineage: Eukaryota; Metazoa; Chordata; Mammalia; Rodentia; Bathyergidae. The record is from RNAcentral.
CCUGCCGCUCUGUCUGUUCUCCGGUCUCUUGCCUUCUUCUUUGAUCUACGAAAUGGGGAAAAUAAGGGCCACUUUGAUAUACUUUUAAGGGCGCGGGGAUUUGCUGUGCUCUCCCCCAAGCAAAGGGCUUGUAGAGUGCUUUCAGAACAAGAAGGAACAUGCUGUCACAUGUAAUCUAAUGAGCUCAGCCUCCUCUUCCAGUGCCUAUUAAUCAAUCAACCAACACUUGUAAAGCAUAUAUAUGAAUUCCGUGUGCAGCAGGGAAGGGGAGGCAUGGUCUUUGCACCUAAGGUAUUUAUGGUCUGACUGGGCAGAUGAUGGAAUGAAUAUGUGAGUGUGAACCAUGAUAAUAGCUAACAUUUACCGAGUGCUUCCUGUGUGCCAGGUUCCCGAAUAGGCACUGAAUUAUCAUCUCCAUUUUACAGACAUUUUAGAGAUCACUUGACCAGGUCACACAGUGUACAGCAGUUAGAUGUGGCUGCAGGUUCCAGGGAAGCUGACAUCCAGUCAAGACGGGCAGCCUCUUGCCUUGGGCCUGGUCCUCUUCAUUCUCUUUCUUCUGUUCUUGCUUUCUCUGCCUAGCAGGGGCAUUACCUGGGGUCAUACUUGAGAACUUUCUUUAACCAUCACUGUCCUCUGGGACCCUAAUAAGGUCUAUUUCUUUCCCUUCCUCUGUCUUUCUGUACUCAACAAUCACAUCCCAGUUAAUUCUCUGUAUGCAACCUUAAUCUUGUGGGUACACUUUGUCCUGUCCUCUGUGGUUUUAUUUUGGAAGGAGAGAGAAGAGACUUCACUCAAAAACAGGCAGCUGCUUUCCUGAAAUGCAGAUAUGUAGCAUCAGGGUGUCACCGGUGCCCACAGGCAGGUCUGCAGUACCGCAUCUUCAGCCCAGCUUGCCAUAUGUGGUCACUGAACUCCCUCAUGAUAACUAAAGAGCCCAACAGAAUGUAGUUUUCCCAGGUAAGACAACAUUUUGAUAUUUUUUAAUAGUAUGGAACACCAGCCAAUAGGAUUUUGAAUAUCAUGGGGAGACAUCCUUUGACCUGGUAUAUAAUCUCACUUCUCUGGAUGCUGGGCUAAUUACAGCAGCUCCCUUGGGCAUGGAUCUGAAUGGGAAGUGUUCUGGCAUUCGGAAAAUUCCACACUGAAUGGCAUUAACCCUGGGACACUGGUCUUUAUGUUGUAUUCCUAGUAACCUAGUUCAUGGGGAUUGACAUGCCCUGGAAAUCCUUGUUUAUUAAAAGCCCUUCUUCUGUUAACUAGAAAUACGGAUAUCUGAAGUCUUGCUACUUAGUCUUGCUCUUAUUGAGUACCUGUAUUUGCAUGACUUAGUGCUAAGAAAAAUAGAACAGAGUAGACAGUGGGAAGUCUGGGUUCUAGCUUUGAGCCUACUAUACCCUAACCAGUCCUAACCAGCCUUGGGUCAGUCACAUUGAGUCCCAACCCUGUGAAUUUCAUUUUCCUCAUCUUUAAG